RNAcentral lists this ribosomal RNA (468 nucleotides) under Cycloramphus boraceiensis (Boraceia button frog). RNAcentral describes it as "partial 16S ribosomal RNA". It matches the Rfam family "Bacterial large subunit ribosomal RNA", at positions 1914 to 2542 of the family's 2925-position model. The record is from RNAcentral. Lineage: Eukaryota; Metazoa; Chordata; Amphibia; Anura; Cycloramphidae.
GUGACUCUGUUCAACGGCCGCGGGUAUCCUAACCGUGGGAAGGUAGCGUAAUCCACUUGUUCUUUAAAUGAGGACUAGUAUGAAAGGCGUCAGGAGGGUAGCGCUGUCUCCUCUCUCUAAUCAGUGAGACUAAUCUCCCCGUGAAGAAUGCGGGGAUUUAUAUAUAAGACGAGAAGGCCCUAUGGAGCUUUAAAUGGCAAUAACGAUUGCGACACCUUUUAGUCCAGAAAGUUUCCUUUUAUCCCAUCAUCAUUAUUAAUUGUAGGUUGGGGUGAGCGCGGAGCGCAGAACAACCUCCGUAUUGGAAUAGAUUCUUAGCAAAGAGUCGCAGCUUUACGCAUCAACAAAUUGGCUUCGAGUGUCCCAGUGGUUUGGCCAGGGGAGCUAGUGAGACUACGGAGAGCAGCGCAAUCCACUGCGAGAGCAAAUAUCGACAAGUGGGUUAACGACCUCGAUGUUGGAUCAGGG